RNAcentral lists this ribosomal RNA (2497 nucleotides) under Ephedra antisyphilitica (popote). RNAcentral describes it as "partial small subunit ribosomal RNA". The stretch from base 11 to 2095 matches the Rfam family "Bacterial small subunit ribosomal RNA". The record is from RNAcentral. Lineage: Eukaryota; Viridiplantae; Streptophyta; Gnetopsida; Ephedrales; Ephedraceae.
AGCGAAAUGCUUCACACAUGCAAGGCUCCUUUUCUCCAUUUCCGGUAGCCGCACGGGUGCGUAAAUAACGUGGGAAUCUGCCGAAGCGGUACGGUAACCCGAAUGUGGUGGAACCUGCCUUCGAUGAGCCCGCGGAGUAUCAGGUAGUUGGUCAGGUAACGGCUGACCAAGCCAAUGACGCUUAGCUGGUCUGCGAGGAUGAUCAGCCACACUGGUAACUGAGACACGGCCCAGACUCUCCAUGAUGCUGCAGUGGGGAAUCUUGGACAAUGGGCGGAUGCUGCCUGAUCCAGCCAUUUGCAUUGCGUGGGAUAGGAAGGGUGGAGCUCGUAUAACCCUUUCGGCAUCGGAUCUAGCUAUUCCCCCCAUGAAACCUGCUCCCGAUCUUCUAUAUUCUCGAUGAAAACCCAUGGUAAGAAGCCCCGGCGAACUCCCGUGCCAGCAGCCGCGGUAAUACGGGGGGGGCAAGUGUUAUUCGGAAUGACUGGGCGUAAAGGGCACGUAGGCGGUGAUCACAUUCCAGCCAGUGAUGCAUCCGAUACUUCCCAUUCGCAUUAGUGUUGACCAUGCGUUGACCAUGCCUUUCCGAUCAUACAAAGUUAUUUCGAUCCACGUGGUUGUGGUUGCAAGGCGUACUUAUAUGAAUAUGAAUCUGAUGGUCACCUGCAUCCGCUGGGUAGCACGUAAGUUUCGCAAUCAAUGUUGUUAAAAUAAGUAGGUGCUGCCGCUAGAUUGGUGCAGUACAACUUGUGAAUGGUGCGCUUGCUGGGUAGGAUCGGUAGCAGGUGGUUGCAUUAGCUCACCGGAAUGUGUUGAUUGCAGCGGUGGCAACAUGGCAUUAUUCUAACUAAAAUAUGUCUAUCGAAUAUGGUGCUUCGGGACUGUUUCACCGAUAUUGCUGCUACCAUUUUUACCGCGGUAGAUGGAAUGCCAACGAAAGAUGCAGGGAAGCUAUUUGGUUGGAUUCGUUAGCUGCAUCACUCUAGAUCGGCGGGUGCAAUGGUUAAACGAGUGAUCGAUCGGGAAUAGCGGAAUGUCGUGUGGUAGGGAUCAAAUACUCCGAUAGACGAUGGAACGCCAAGCGAAGGCAGCUAUCCAGGUCCCACUGACGCUGGGGUGCCAAAGCAUGGGGAGCAAACAGGAUCAGAUACCCUGGUAGUCCAUGCCGUAAACGAUGAGUGUUCCGCUGUAAUCGAAUAUGGGGCGGCAGCUAACGUUUUAACACUCCGCCUGGGUAUUACGGUAGCAAUACGGAAACUCAAAGGAAUUGACGGGGGCCUGCACAAGCGGUGGAGCAUGUGGUUUAAUUCGAUACAACGCGCAGAACCUUACCAGCCCUGGAACAUCGGUGCCUUGCUAUUUCCGUUGCGCAUAUUCUUCCGGUGCUGCAUGGCUGUCGUAAGCUCGUGUCGUGAGAUGUUUGGUUCAGUCCCUUGGUCAACUAGCGAAACCCUCGUAAUGGCAUGCUCCAAUCCUUCCGUUUCAUCCGGUGCAAGUGGGAUUGGUGGAUGGAAUCAUGCAAUGGUAGCGCCCAUUAUUCGAAUUCGAUAGGGGCAAUUAGUCGAGGGGGCGGGGCAAUUAGUCGAGAGUAAAAGUAAAACGAUCGUGCAUCCUUUACGUACGCUAUUCGCUGCAACUGUUCCUAUUAUUUCCGAGAUCGAAGCGAUACGGCAAGAUUAGGUGCUUUCCAUUUCAUCCAGUGUUGCACCUAUGUAUGAUUGCACCGGUAGGAUCUAAGAAGCCUAUCCAUCUACUGCCAGCCGAAAUGCCGGAUGAAGGUGGGGAUGACGUCAAGUCCGCAUGGCCCUAAUGGGCUGGGCCACAACACGUGCUACAAUGGCAAUGCAACAAUCCCCCUGGUAUCUCGUUCGAGCAAGGCCUUAAGGCGGAGCGGAUGGAAAGAUUGGCCCUAAUGGUUCGGAUGGGUCUCUGCUACUAGAUCCGGAAGUAGGAAUCGCAAGUAAUCGCGGAGCAGCAUGCCGCGGUGAAUCUAGUACCCCGGUCCUGUACACACCGCCCGUCACACCCUGGUAUUUGCUCUCGCCUUGAACCCGUACAUCUACGUUAUGCGGUUAUAAAAUGUACCUUUCCCUCCUGGUGAGAUAGAUCGUCCUACCCAUUCGUGCUCUGGUAACUUGAGUGGUAUUCAAUCGCUUAUUCAUGGUGCCGGAAUAGGAGCAGCCAAUGUGAAACAGCAUGCGAUCAUCGGUAGGAGAAUGGUUGGAUCUCAGGUAAACGCGAAUUCAUAACUUCGUGAUACGCGUGAUAUUCCGUGUGUUCUGCUGGUUCCGCACGAUCAUGGUGAACGAUUGGCCGGCACUUACCCGGAUGAUGCUAUGCUUUCUGCCGUUAAACCAGAACUUUCUCUAAUGGCAGGAUCGCUCUAUCGGAUCAUCUAUUCUGAAUCCCGGUGCUAUUGUUCGCAUCUAUUUUUACGUGCAAUUCCAGUAAGGCAGCAAGGCCACGUGAUUGUUCUAGCAAUAUCUUUCAUGGGGGA